UGGGGAAUUUUUGGACAAUGGGCGAAAGCCUGAUCCAGCAAUGCCGCGUGUGUGAAGAAGGCCUUCGGGUUGUAAAGCACUUUUGUCCGGAAAGAAAUCCUUGGCUCUAAUACAGUCGGGGGAUGACGGUACCGGAAGAAUAAGCACCGGCUAACUACGUGCCAGCAGCCGCGGUAAUACGUAGGGUGCAAGCGUUAAUCGGAAUUACUGGGCGUAAAGCGUGCGCAGGCGGUUUGCUAAGACCGAUGUGAAAUCCCCGGGCUCAACCUGGGAACUGCAUUGGUGACUGGCAGGCUAGAGUAUGGCAGAGGGGGGUUAGAAUUCCACGUGUAGCAGUGAAAUGCGUAGAGAUGUGGAGGAAUACCGAUGGCGAAGGCAGCCCCCUGGGCCAAUACUGACGCUCAUGCACGAAAGCGUGGGGAGCAAAGCAGGAUUAGAUACCCUGGUAGUCCACGCCCUAAAUCGAUGUCAACUAGUUGUUGGGGA
This 486-nucleotide ribosomal RNA is filed under the name uncultured bacterium. RNAcentral's name for it is "partial 16S ribosomal RNA". It matches the Rfam family "Bacterial small subunit ribosomal RNA", at positions 355 to 829 of the family's 1533-position model. The record is from RNAcentral.